CCUACGGGUGGCAGCAGUGAGGAAUUUUGCUCAAUGCUCGUAAGAGUGACGCAGCGACGCCGCGUGAAUGACGAAUGCCUUCUGGGCUUAAAGUUCUUUCUACAUGGGAGAAAAUGCCUAUAAGUAUCUGUGUAUGUAUUGACGGUACCUGUAUAAGCAGCCCCGGCUAACUCCGUGCCAGCAGCCUCGGUAAUACGGAGGGGGCGAGCGUGGUUCUGAUUGACUGGGCGUAAAGAGCACGUAGGCUGUGUUGUAAGUCAUUAGUCAAAGACUAGAGCUCAACUUUAGUACUGCUAGUGAUACUAUAAUACUAGAGUAUCAGAGAGGAUUGCAGAAUUCCUGGUGUAGCGGUGAAAUGCGUAGAUAUCAGGAGGAAUACCGUUAGCGAAGGCGGCAAUCUGGCUGGAAACUGACGCUGAGGUGCGAAAGCGUGGGUAGCAAACAGGAUUAGAUACCCUUGUAGUC
Molecule: ribosomal RNA, 465 nt
Filed under: uncultured bacterium
Lineage: Bacteria
Description: partial 16S ribosomal RNA
Rfam family: Bacterial small subunit ribosomal RNA
Source: RNAcentral